Molecule: long non-coding RNA, 284 nt
Organism: Neltuma alba
Lineage: Eukaryota; Viridiplantae; Streptophyta; Magnoliopsida; Fabales; Fabaceae
Exons: 3
Source: RefSeq, a predicted model, not a curated record
UUAUACCGCACAAAUCAGGCCUUACCCUGCCCCCCGGUAAAAAACGGCCAAUUUGACGAUACCUUCCCGUGGAAGAAAGUGAAGUGCCCACGUCAGCCCAACAAGAGCUCCCAUUAUGGAUAUUGCGUGAUGAAAUUUAUGAAGGAGAUAAUUCUGCACAAUGCUAACACAAUUCCCACGCAGUACUUUGCCGACACAUAUUGCACAGUGUAUUCAUCUGCUCAGAUGGAAGAAAUCGUUGAGGAGUUGGCGAUGGCCUUAUUCUGUCAGUGGGCACAACAUAG